AAAGAUAGCCCCUUCGUACGAAAGGAGUUGGGUAUAUUGAUCCCUGGUUUACCUGUUGUUUAUAGUAUAUAUAUAUAAAUAUUUAUAUAUAUAUCGAAUGCUUGUACUAAAGUAUUUUUUUGAUCCUAUAGGCAUGGCAGGAAAGCUACAUCAGUUAAAGAUAAGUGUUGAAAGCAUCUAAACGCGAAGCAAACUUUA
Molecule: ribosomal RNA, 198 nt
Organism: Pestalotiopsis fici W106-1
Lineage: Eukaryota; Fungi; Ascomycota; Sordariomycetes; Amphisphaeriales; Sporocadaceae
Rfam family: Bacterial large subunit ribosomal RNA
Source: Rfam